UACGUAGGGUGCGAGCGUUAAUCGGAAUCACUGGGCGUAAAGGGUGCGUAGGCGGGAUCUUAAGUCAGAGGUGAAAGCCUGGAGCUCAACUCCAGAACUGCCUUUGAUACUGGGAUUCUUGAGUUCGGGAGAGGUGAGCGGAACUGCGAGUGUAGAGGUGAAAUUCGUAGAUAUUCGCAAGAACACCGGUGGCGAAGGCGGCCAACUGGACCAUUACUGACGCUGAGGCGCGAAAGCGUGGGGAGCAAACAGG
RNAcentral lists this ribosomal RNA (253 nucleotides) under uncultured bacterium. Its description in RNAcentral is "partial 16S ribosomal RNA". It matches the Rfam family "Bacterial small subunit ribosomal RNA", at positions 524 to 776 of the family's 1533-position model. The record is from RNAcentral.